UGGAUAGCUCACGUUGGUAGAGCACAGGAUUCAGGUUCCUGGGGUCGCGGGUUCGACUCCGCUCCAA
Molecule: transfer RNA, 67 nt
Filed under: Rhodoblastus sp.
Lineage: Bacteria; Pseudomonadati; Pseudomonadota; Alphaproteobacteria; Hyphomicrobiales; Rhodoblastaceae
Description: tRNA-Leu
Rfam family: tRNA
About the family: Transfer RNA (tRNA) molecules are approximately 80 nucleotides in length. Their secondary structure includes four short double-helical elements and three loops (D, anti-codon, and T loops).
Source: RNAcentral